GAUGAACGCUGGCGGCGUGCCUAAUACAUGCAAGUCGAGCGAACAGAUGAGAAGCUUGCUUCUCUGAUGUUAGCGGCGGACGGGUGAGUAACACGUGGGUAACCUACCUAUAAGACUGGGAUAACUCCGGGAAACCGGGGCUAAUACCGGAUAAUAUUUUGAACCGCAUGGUUCAAUAGUGAAAGACGGUUUCGGCUGUCACUUAUAGAUGGACCCGCGCCGUAUUAGCUAGUUGGUAAGGUAACGGCUUACCAAGGCGACGAUACGUAGCCGACCUGAGAGGGUGAUCGGCCACACUGGAACUGAGACACGGUCCAGACUCCUACGGGAGGCAGCAGUAGGGAAUCUUCCGCAAUGGGCGAAAGCCUGACGGAGCAACGCCGCGUGAGUGAUGAAGGUCUUCGGAUCGUAAAACUCUGUUGUUAGGGAAGAACAAAUUUGUUAGUAACUGAACAAGUCUUGACGGUACCUAACCAGAAAGCCACGGCUAACUACGUGCCAGCAGCCGCGGUAAUACGUAGGUGGCAAGCGUUAUCCGGAAUUAUUGGGCGUAAAGCGCGCGUAGGCGGUUUCUUAAGUCUGAUGUGAAAGCCCACGGCUCAACCGUGGAGGGUCAUUGGAAACUGGGAAACUUGAGUGCAGAAGAGGAGAGUGGAAUUCCAUGUGUAGCGGUGAAAUGCGCAGAGAUAUGGAAGAACACCAGUGGCGAAGGCGGCUCUCUGGUCUGUAACUGACGCUGAUGUGCGAAAGCGUGGGGAUCAAACAGGAUUAGAUACCCUGGUAGUCCACGCCGUAAACGAUGAGUGCUAAGUGUUAGGGGGUUUCCGCCCCUUAGUGCUGCAGCUAACGCAUUAAGCACUCCGCCUGGGGAGUACGACCGCAAGGUUGAAACUCAAAGGAAUUGACGGGGACCCGCACAAGCGGUGGAGCAUGUGGUUUAAUUCGAAGCAACGCGAAGAACCUUACCAAAUCUUGACAUCCUUUGACCGCUCUAGAGAUAGAGUCUUCCCCUUCGGGGGACAAAGUGACAGGUGGUGCAUGGUUGUCGUCAGCUCGUGUCGUGAGAUGUUGGGUUAAGUCCCGCAACGAGCGCAACCCUUAAGCUUAGUUGCCAUCAUUAAGUUGGGCACUCUAGGUUGACUGCCGGUGACAAACCGGAGGAAGGUGGGGAUGACGUCAAAUCAUCAUGCCCCUUAUGAUUUGGGCUACACACGUGCUACAAUGGAUAAUACAAAGGGCAACGAAUCCGCGAGGCCAAGCAAAUCCCAUAAAAUUAUUCUCAGUUCGGAUUGUAGUCUGCAACUCGACUACAUGAAGCUGGAAUCGCUAGUAAUCGUAGAUCAGCAUGCUACGGUGAAUACGUUCCCGGGUCU
This 1373-nucleotide ribosomal RNA is filed under the name uncultured bacterium. RNAcentral describes it as "bacterial SSU rRNA". It matches the Rfam family "Bacterial small subunit ribosomal RNA", at positions 28 to 1381 of the family's 1533-position model. The record is from RNAcentral.